Molecule: ribosomal RNA, 406 nt
Filed under: uncultured bacterium
Lineage: Bacteria
Description: partial 16S ribosomal RNA
Rfam family: Bacterial small subunit ribosomal RNA
Source: RNAcentral
AUUGAACGCUGGCGGCAGGCCUAACACAUGCAAGUCGAACGAGUGGCGGACGGGUGAGUAAUGUUUGGGAAACUGCCUGAUGGCGGGGGAUAACUACUGGAAACUGUAGCUAAUACCGCAUACCAUCGGAUGAGCCCAGAUGGGAUUAGUUAGUUGGUGGGGUAAAGGCUCACCAAGCCGACGAUCCCUAGCUGGUCUGAGAGGAUGACCAGCCACACGGGAACUGAGACACGGCCCAGACUCCUACGGGAGGCAGCAGGGGGGAAUAUUGCACAAUGGGGGCAACCCUGAUGCAGCCAUGCCGCGUGUAUGAAGAAGGCCUUCGGGUUGUAAAGUACUUUCGGCGGGGAGGCGUUACCCACAGAAGAAGCACCGGCUAACUCCGUGCCAGCAGCCGCGGUAAUUC